Gallus gallus (chicken) is the source of this 3013-nucleotide long non-coding RNA. Lineage: Eukaryota; Metazoa; Chordata; Aves; Galliformes; Phasianidae. The record is from Ensembl.
UUUUUUUUUUUUUUUUUUUCAUUUCUCUCAGGUACAGCUGCAGACAUUUUCAGGCUGAUUUCAAGUCAUCCCACAGUCCUAGUAGACUUUAUGGAAGCUUUAGCUAAAUUGGUACAGCUGUAUUCAGAGUUAAAUCCACACUAUUAUGGGAAAACACGUAACAGAAAAUAAAGAGCAUUAGAUUGAACCUCUCCUAGCAGUCCUCACAGUCUACACCUGUUUAAAAUUAUGAUAGCACCUACUUUUGUGGAGCUGAGGUCUACCAAGACGUCUGCCUGCUUAGCCUCACAGAGAGCUAUAAUGGACACAUGUGACAUAAAGAUUUUGUUUGCCUAGUGGUGAAGUGAAUACUGUUGAGCAAAAAUAACUGCUUUCUUUAGAUUACAGCAUGAAGCAGUUUAUCUCUGUUCACUGUAGCUGAGCUUGUAUAAAAUGUAAGUUUUACAUGCUUAGUCUCUCUUCAUGCCUGAAACACCUUUGGAAAGAAAGGAAUUCAUGGUAUCAUAAAAGCUGUAGUUUGAAUAACUGUCAGAAGUCAAAUUACAAAUCACUGUUAGCAGGAAGGCAUACCUGAUGCAGAUGAAUUACAUGGGCAGAGAGCUGAAAUAAGCCAACUGAAGGUAUUAACAGAAGCCUCCAUAUAUAGAAGUUGUUGGAAAUAAACAACGACCAAAAAAAAAAAAAAAAACAAAAAAAACAAACCAAACAAAAAAAAAACUUAGAUUAAUAAAAAAUGAAAUACAUAAUUCUGAUGAAUUGUACAUGAUUUUUUUCUCUUCCUUAUUUACCUCCUUUCCCCAUCAUCAAGCACCUCGGUAAGCCCUACAUUGUGUGGUGGACACGCCCUAAGUUCCCAGCAGGCAUCUUUACAGAAGGACAAAGGUGCUGCACCACUGAAUGUUGUAUCCCUGUGUUUUUGGUGUCUAGUUUAGUAAUGGAGCUAGGUUUGUAACCUUGGCCUUCCCUUCAGUGUUUCAGAUGAGUUGCAUGUCCAUAAGGAUAUUAGCUCAUUUACUUGGUAUGGAGCUAUGUAAGCAAGAAACAGGAAAAAACAAGUUCCAGGAUUUGUCUGCUCCUUUUAGGUGGUGGUUUUCAGUUUUUUAUUCGGCUUCUAAGAAACUAUCUGGCGUUCUGUCAUGGUUUUAUGAUGUUUGGUUAUUGGUAUUCCACAUCAUAACAUCAUGUAGUGCACUGAGAGUUAAAGAGUUAAUGUUCCAGGUCUGGGUACCUGUCCCAGAACAGAAGAAUUACUACAUCCCCCAGAGGACUAUUUGCUGUUCUGUUAUAAUUUCUGCUCAGGGGGAAAAGAUAAAAGGCCUUCGAAGGUCACCUGAUAGCCCUUUUGAUUGUCUGGCUCGUCUCUGUUGUGGGUGCCGUCUUGUCACAGCAUUAGAGUAAGGCCUUUGGCUUUCAGACACUCUUUUGUUAUAUUUAUUAGCUUCAAUUCUAAUUAUAUGUAUUAUAUUGUAUUAUAGUAUGUUAUCUUGCAUUCCGAUAUCUUAUUUAGUAAAUUAGUUUGUUUCCCCUUGGAUCAUUGCUGCUGUUCUGUCUUUAGGCCCAUCUAUCUACCCUUUUCCCUUUUUUUCCCUUUCUUCCCUCUCCUGGGACAUGGAUCCAUGGGUCUCUCCACUCCGCUAGUCAUGGAACUUGGCCGAACCAACCUGUUGACGUUCUUGGUAGAGAAUGCCUUGACAGUUUCCUAACCCCUUUUUAUAAAACACUCCUAAUGCAGAUCAACAUUCUUUUUUAUUUUAAAAAUUAGCCACAUUUAAAAGUACCUGUUUAUUCAACCAGAUAUUAUCAACUACUGUUACAGCAUUGUGGUAUAAAACAGCACUGAAACUCAUUCUUUGCUUGCAUAGAAAACUUUGUGUAGAAAACUGUGUAGAAAAGACUGGCAGUGCUUUAGCUGAAACACAGGAGCAGAAGGAUCAGUAGAGGAUGGCUCUUGGGAAAGAGGCUCGGGAAGGAAGGGGAAAGAAAUGUAACAAGUGAGUCAAGUGAGACUCUCGGAGGGACAAGAAUCUCUUCCUAGAAUCAGCGCCCACUUUUAACCAUCAGCACUCCUCAAAACCUAUGUGUUAUGUGACUCAAAACAAUCUUCAAAUUGAUUGUCAAAAUACAUAUGCCCUAAAAAUAAUAUUAAUUUUCAAAUUGUAUCAAAAAUGAGCUUCCCCUCACACCAUUAGGCUGAGCAGCACAGACACUAAGCUGUGCUGACCCUCUUCAGAGCAGGGUUGCAUCCAUCCCUCCUGCCAUACUGAGGUCACAGAGCCUGGUGAGUAAUACCUGGCACUAGCAAGAUCAGUUUGUCCUCCCUAGCUGCAAAGACACUUUGCAAAAUGUCCAUGAGCUUGGGAAGCAUCACCAUUCUCAUUUUGCAGCUGGAGGAACAGAUGCAGAAAGGUUAAGCACUUUAUCUUAGAGGAAGUAGGUAGCAGGGUUAAGAAGCUAGUUCAAUGAAGCCUAGGUUUCAGGACUUUGAGCUAAGCAACACUCGUUCUGAAGAUGUCUUGGUAUUCACAUUUGCUUUUUUGUAUAACAGGUAAUUUCAACUAUAUGAAAAGAGAAACAGUAUAGAACUGUGAGAAAGUUGAUUAUAUAAAUAGGGCUAUAUUCAUUGAGAAAAUAGAGGGUGCUUAUUGCUGAGAGGAAGAGAAUACUCUUCUUAAGUAAGCUGGGAGUGUGAAUACUAUUAAUUCUGACUUCUGCAAACAGAUCUUGUUAGGUUGGCAACUGACACAAGCAACCUUCUGCUGCAUCUUCAGAUAUGGGUUUUGUUUGCUCAGGACUGUCUUCCAUGCAUUCAUGUUUUAAAGCAUAUAAUUUCCUGAAAAAAUAGCUUUGUUAAAUUUAGACUAUGUCAGAUUGCUCAAGGCAGGAAAAGUAUUUCUUUGCAUAAUAAAAGUUCCUGAAUAGUGACAAGACAGUUUAAGACUUAAAACUUACACUGUCUUGAGAUUCCUCUUAUGUUUACCAGUUUUGCUCUGGAUAAAACGGAUGCUGCUGCUCA